Molecule: non-coding RNA, 18 nt
Filed under: Arabidopsis thaliana (thale cress)
Lineage: Eukaryota; Viridiplantae; Streptophyta; Magnoliopsida; Brassicales; Brassicaceae
Source: RNAcentral
AGUCGUUGUAGUAUAGUG